GGUCCCCCCUCUAAUUCAUAAUGGUUUAAAAGGUCUGGUCCCCCCUCUAAUUCAUAAUGGUUUAAAAGGUCUGGUCCCCCCUCUAAUUCAUAAUGGUUUAAAAGGUCUGGUCCCCCCUCUAAUUCAUAAUGGUUUAAAAGGUCUGGUCCCCCCUCUAAUUCAUAAUGGUUUAAAAGGUCUGGUCCCCCCUCUAAUUCAUAAUGGUUUAAAAGGUCUGGUCCCCCCUCUAAUUCAUAAUGGUUUAAAAGGUCUGGUCCCCCCUCUAAUUCAUAAUGGUUUAAAAGGUCUGGUCCCCCCUCCUAAUUCAUAAUGGUUUAAAAGGCUAAACUGAUCUCAGAUCAGUACUCUGACACUGUGGAUAAGGGCCCUGUGCUCCUUUCAGCUCCUGCGUGUCCAGUUUGUCAUUAGGCCAAUAUUUAAUACCGAUAUACUACCAUGGUGUAGCUAUGACGACUUCACUAUGCAAAGCAAUGAGUUUAUUACUUUUGUUUUUGUUACUGCUGGUCACUCUUCCUCAACUGCUCCCUCCAAAAAAUGUCUUGCUCUCUCCAUCACAGAAGAAUAAGCUUCUCAACAUAUCAAUGUAUGGCUGCUAAACUCAACUGCUCACAUAAUUGAUUUGUGAAACUGGAAACAACCUGUAGAACUUACUCUGGCUGUCAUAACGUGAAGACAUCCUGUACUAGUCUGUGCUCUGUUUGAAAUAGAACCGCUUUAAAACGACUGCAGUGUAAAUGCCUAUAAUACAUUAGGUCUACCUGAACACAUUUUAAACGUUCUGCAAAAGUCUAAUGAAAUAAAUGAAUGGAAAUCUGUUUGUUGCUUUUCACUUUAUUUUUUCAUGAUAAAGUUAGAAUAAAAACAUCUUAUCAGCCUGAUAAGUCUCUUCCACAAAGUGAG
This 900-nucleotide long non-coding RNA is filed under the name Salmo salar (Atlantic salmon). Its description in RNAcentral is "lncRNA (ENSSSAG00000095435.1, ENSSSAG00000098265.1)". Lineage: Eukaryota; Metazoa; Chordata; Actinopteri; Salmoniformes; Salmonidae. The record is from RNAcentral.